UCGAUCUAUCUUUCUCCUUCUCUUCUGUCUCUUCAUCACCAUAUUACCUAACUCAGACUUUAAAACUCUUAGAGCGAGGACGAAGCAGUAGGGACGUAUUUGAAAGCCCACAGAACACCGAGGAUAACGCUGCGGUGAUUCUUCCUCAUUCUUCUUCCAACACCCUCCAUCAUCACCUCCGCCUUAUCACCAACGUCAGUCAUAUUCGUCACCUCAGUCUCAAAUCCUGACAGGGAGGCACGACUCGUGUAUUUGUUUAAAACCCCUUGCGUUUUUCUUCAAAUAACUACCACAUUCGUUUGGAAUUAACAAGAAAGGCGUAAAGAACGUUAGCAGAGCAGAGAGAAGCAACUUGGCUCCGAUCCAUUCCACACCAAAAAACGCUGGAGUCGCUUUGACUCGGUGGAUGUGUUCGACACUCGAUCUGAGCGAGCCUUUCAACCGCCUUAUGUCUUCUGGGGGGGAUUUCACUGGAGACACCAGCUGCGCUUCAGACGUCUUUAAGGGUCCAUCAGGAGAGGACAAAAGGAAAUAAACAUUGUGAGACA
Long non-coding RNA from Cynoglossus semilaevis (tongue sole), 548 nucleotides. RefSeq lists it as uncharacterized. NCBI's taxonomy places the organism in Eukaryota, Metazoa, Chordata, Actinopteri, Pleuronectiformes, Cynoglossidae. The transcript is spliced from 2 exons. The record is from RefSeq and is a predicted model, not a curated record.